RNAcentral lists this ribosomal RNA (497 nucleotides) under uncultured bacterium. Its description in RNAcentral is "partial 16S ribosomal RNA". It matches the Rfam family "Bacterial small subunit ribosomal RNA", at positions 28 to 507 of the family's 1533-position model. The record is from RNAcentral.
GAUGAACGCUGGCGGCGUGCCUAAUACAUGCAGGUCGAGCGAACAGAUAAGGAGCUUGCUCCUUUGACGUUAGCGGCGGACGGGUGAGUAACACGUGGGUAACCUACCUAUAAGACUGGAAUAACUCCGGGAAACCGGGGCUAAUGCCGGAUAACAUUUAGAACCGCAUGGUUCUAAAGUGAAAGAUGGUUUUACUAUCACUUAUAGAUGGACCCGCGCCGUAUUAGCUAGUUGGUAAGGUAACGGCUUACCAAGGCAACGAUACGUAGCCGACCUGAGAGGGUGAUCGGCCACACUGGAACUGAGACACGGUCCAGACUCCUACGGGAGGCAGCAGUAGGGAAUCUUCCGCAAUGGGCGAAAGCCUGACGGAGCAACGCCGCGUGAGUGAUGAAGGUCUUCGGAUCGUAAAACUCUGUUAUUAGGGAAGAACAAAUGUGUAAGUAACUGUGCACGUCUUGACGGUACCUAAUCAGAAAGCCACGGCUAACUACGUG